UUUCUAUUUACAAUGUUGUUUCAUCUACUGUAUAUGAUGAUUUUAUAGAUAGGUUGGUUGUAAAGUGAUUUAGGUUAAAUAUAAUCUAUUGUUUCUUAAAGUAAAAAACACAGAAACUUGAGGGACGAACAUAAUUUCAAAGAUUGCCAUAUUUUCACUGCAACAGUAUCAAAAAUCCUAUUCAAGCAACCUGAUAAUUCUUUCUCC
Molecule: long non-coding RNA, 207 nt
Filed under: Solanum tuberosum (potato)
Lineage: Eukaryota; Viridiplantae; Streptophyta; Magnoliopsida; Solanales; Solanaceae
Description: long non-coding RNA (STUB_LNC002280)
Source: RNAcentral